UGGGGAAGGGAGGGAUGUCCACAAAGUAAUGACACAGUGGGGUGAUCCUUUAACCAUCUCAGUGAGUCUGGUGUUUUAUUUUGUUUCUGAACUGUUGCUAAUAUACCUUUCACUUGGCUGUUAUAAGUUGCAUUACGUAAAUACAGCUGGAGAAAAAUGUGUGUGUCUUCAUUUCAGCCUGCAAAACAACAACGUGAAUAUUUUGAAUCUGAUUCUUCUCUUUACACACUGUAAGUGUGCCCAGUGAUGGACUGGGUUACCACUUCUAGGGCUUGUUUCCCCUUUUGAGCCCCCUGAAAUCUUGAAUUGUCCCAGUAGGCUCAUCACAAGCUCUGACGGGAGAUCCAAGAAGGCCACCCGAGGCAAAACCCAAGCGCCAGUCCACUCACUUACAGAUUCUUUGCCAAGGCACAUUUUAACGAUUCUGAACAAUUCUACAAAACGCAUAGUUUUCUUCUCAAUGUAUUGUUUCAGUUAAGGAUAUGACAGAUCAGCUUUAAGAUAUGUGUAGAUCAAAAGGAGUACUUAAGUGUUUUUCAUAUUUAUUGCAUUUUAAGUGUAAUUUUUUCUUCUGGCUUACCAUCCUCUCAAGUGAACACUUUCUUCAUUGUUGUUAGAGGGCUGAGGUUGUCCACUAAUAUUGCUACAGCAGGAAAGAUUCUGACGGAAAAUGCUGCAUUUGUGUUUGCAGGUUGACUAUUUGGAUUCAUUUUGGUUUUUUUACAUUGUUUAAUUGAAGAAAGGCUGCUAUAUUUAAAACAUGGAAUUGGCAACAACUUUAUGUCUCGGGCAAGCAGUGUAGUAACACAGAAUCGCUCAACUUCCAAAAGUUUUCUGGAGCCGAACUUGAGCUGGUUAUUGUAAAUGGAACUGGUAUUCUCAGUCCUGCUGCGCCUGUUGCAAUACGUCACUCCCAUUUUUAUUGUCAAUAAAAGAUUUAAAUGGAAUGCAUCAUUUGUUUUCCUGUGAUGAGUAACAGAUUUGGCUUUUUUACUUUUGCCAGCAGCCAUACCACCUGCACUUCACAGAAGAGGUCAUCCACCUGCAGCUCAGUCUGCAUCUAGAAAAAUAAUUUAAGUUUGAUACACUUAUUUAAAGUUUUACUUAAGUCCAAUUUAAAAAGGAAUAGCAAAGUUUAAAAACUCAAUUGUAUCACACUGCGGCACGAGUAUUGCAGUGUUAAUCGUAUUCUAGUGCUCCUGGUAGAUCCCACCCUUAGUCUCAACUAUGCAUUGUGGUAAACAUUUAUCAACUUGUUUGGCUGAUGCUGCUGUUUUGCUUUAUAUUUGUCAGCAUACAGCUGGCAGCCUUCAGAAUCUUACAUUAUACUUAGCUGCAUGGAUUUAAAAUUGGGACUACUUAUAAUUACAGGAGAUUCAAAACAGCUCACAUCAGACUAAAAAAUCAUUUCAUGCUUCCUGAAUUGACUGCACAUUAUUGAGAAGUGAUGCCACCUGAAGUAGAAACAGCUAGUAAUUGUUUAAGAAAUAUUGUUUAAAACAAACAGUGAAACCUCUUUAUCUGCUAAGCUAAAGUGAUAAUCAGUGCACCACAAAAUGCAUAACUGACAAGCAUCUUGUAUACACUGUGGACACCAGGGGGCACUCCAGCUCCCCAAACACCCAACACAAGCAGGCACUCGGACACAAGUGUAAUAAACAAGAGAAUUUUAUUUUGGGAAACUCUUCCCCUUGAUGUGUUUCCCACAGCACAAAGCAGCAGCAAUAAAGUACAACACUGCAACACUUUGUCUCAACCCCCAGCCCAAUGCCACUGGUCACGGGCUCCUCCACCAUGCCACCUUGCCAGCUUCAUCCACCUGCCCUCUUUUAUGUAGCACCUGGGAGUACUUCCACUAUCUCCAAGGACUGGCCCUGUGGGCACCUCUGUGUGGAGUGGGAGCCCAACAAAGUAGAGUUCCCCAGUCCCCGCAGCACUCCAUGGAUGCACCUGCAGAAUCCAAUAGGGCUGAGUUGGCAAACUCCAAGUCCCAUGAUGCCCCGUGGAAAUCCAGUGCACUGCUGCAACCCGGGCGGGUUGCCAUCCAGUAGUUUGGGGAAGGCAAUGCCGUAAUGAAGGCAUAGUGCCUCCUGGACGGGUAAGGAUGCAGGCCAUCCCUCACAACAUAUAAAGUGUACAGUAUGUGUAUUCAAAUGGGCAAAACUUAAUUAUUACAUCCAAUUUCAACUGGACCUUUCUCUAAGCAGAUUAAUAUUUGUUUCAUUCCAAUAUUUUGAAUACCACUGCAGUUUCUGCACUUACGUCUGCUUCGUUUAGUCAGGCCUGGAAGUUAGCAGAACAAAGAAUGAGCUGGCAAACCGCCGAGUGCAGCGUGAACCCGCUGUGCCAGUGCAGGGCCGCCUGAAACUCGAGCUCCGCCAUUGCAGUAGAAAAUAAACAAACAGUUACCUUUGAUGUUAGAGUUUAUGUUUAAUAUGAAAACAUACAGCGUAGUGAAGAUAGAAUACCUGAGUUUAUUAUUAUUUUUUUUAAUUACUCUUGUUUUAUUUCAGUGGCAUUACAGUGUAAAGAAGGCAGAAUAAUAAGGACACAAAUGAAGACAAAUCUGCACAAAAGCAGAAAGGAGCAGGUACAAGACCCUUAAACUCCGUCACUUCAAUUUGCAGACUGUAAAGGUUGACCCCUUUUAUUGGAUUGGGGGGGUCUGUGGAGGAGCAGUGGUCCAGUGAUUGCACCCCUUAAUUUUCUUAAACACCGCCCAUCAGAUGACAGCACCACAUGUGACCUCCUAUGUUACCCAAGGACUGACUGAACUGUGCCACCAGGAGUACCAAUUGGCCUUCACCCGACCGGCAGAGAGAACGUUCAGGAAACAGGAAAAGAAUUGCAACAUGGAAUAAAAAUCUCAGACGGAUGUGCACCAGCCUGGAACUUCAUUCAACAUUUGAAGCUACACCAAGAAUGUCUGUUCAUCGCUGUUCCCUCUACCAAAAAAACAAAAUCACCAUUCCUACCUGCGGCAAACUUCAG
This is a long non-coding RNA of Polypterus senegalus (gray bichir), 2991 nucleotides long. RefSeq lists it as uncharacterized. NCBI's taxonomy places the organism in Eukaryota, Metazoa, Chordata, Cladistia, Polypteriformes, Polypteridae. The transcript is spliced from 3 exons. The record is from RefSeq and is a predicted model, not a curated record.